GUAACGCGUAUGCAACUUACCUAUCAGAGGGGGAGUAACCCGGCGAAAGUCGGACUAAUACCGCAUGAAGCAGGGGCCCCCGCCAUGGGGAUAUUUGCUAAAGAUUCAUCGCUGAUAGAUAGGCAUGCGUUCCAUUAGUUUGUUGGCGGGGUAACGGCCCACCAAGACUACGAUGGAUAGGGGUUCUGAGAGGAAGGUCCCCCACAUUGGAACUGAGACACGGUCCAAACUCCUACGGGAGGCAGCAUG
Molecule: ribosomal RNA, 249 nt
Filed under: uncultured bacterium
Lineage: Bacteria
Description: partial 16S ribosomal RNA
Rfam family: Bacterial small subunit ribosomal RNA
Source: RNAcentral